CAGCAGUCGCCACGGUAAUACGUAGGGCGCAAGCGUUGUCCGGAAUUAUUGGGCGUAAAGAGCUCGUAGGCGGUCUGUCGCGUCUGGUGUGAAAUCCCGAGGCUCAACCUCGGGCUUGCAUCGGGUACGGGCAGACUAGAGUGCGGUAGGGGAGACUGGAAUUCCUGGUGUAGCGGUGGAAUGCGCAGAUAUCAGGAGGAACACCGAUGGCGAAGGCAGGUCUCUGGGCCGCAACUGACGCUGAGGAGCGAAAGCAUGGGGAGCGAACAGGAUUAGAUACCCCCGUAGUCCCUGUCUCUUAUAC
This 304-nucleotide ribosomal RNA is filed under the name uncultured bacterium. Its description in RNAcentral is "partial 16S ribosomal RNA". It matches the Rfam family "Bacterial small subunit ribosomal RNA", at positions 506 to 807 of the family's 1533-position model. The record is from RNAcentral.